UCUGGUAAUGAUGGCAGAGAGGUCACACCCGUUCCCAUACCGAACACGGAAGUUAAGCUCUCUAGCGCCGAUGAUAGUUGGGACCUUGUCCCUGUGAGAGUAGGACGUUGCCAGGC
This 116-nucleotide ribosomal RNA is filed under the name Bacillus toyonensis. RNAcentral also lists the same sequence under 1 other name. Lineage: Bacteria; Bacillati; Bacillota; Bacilli; Caryophanales; Bacillaceae. The record is from RNAcentral.